GUGGGGAAUCUUAGACAAUGGGGGAAACCCUGAUCUAGCCAUGCCGCGUGAGCGAUGAAGGCCUUAGGGUUGUAAAGCUCUUUCAGCUGGGAAGAUAAUGACGGUACCAGCAGAAGAAGCCCCGGCUAACUCCGUGCCAGCAGCCGCGGUAAUACGGAGGGGGCUAGCGUUGUUCGGAAUUACUGGGCGUAAAGCGCACGUAGGCGGAUCAGAAAGUCAGAGGUGAAAUCCCAGGGCUCAACCUUGGACCGGACUUUGAAACUCCGGGUCUUGAGGUCGAGAGAGGUGAGUGGAAUUCCGAGUGUAGAGGUGAAAUUCGUAGAUAUUCGGAGGAACACCAGUGGCGAAGGCGGCCCACUGGCUCGAUACUGACGCUGAGGUGCGAAAGCGUGGGGAGCAAACAGGAUUAGAUACCCGGGUAGUCC
RNAcentral lists this ribosomal RNA (425 nucleotides) under uncultured bacterium. Its description in RNAcentral is "partial 16S ribosomal RNA". It matches the Rfam family "Bacterial small subunit ribosomal RNA", at positions 354 to 796 of the family's 1533-position model. The record is from RNAcentral.